This 1196-nucleotide ribosomal RNA is filed under the name Alkalicoccobacillus gibsonii. RNAcentral's name for it is "bacterial SSU rRNA". It matches the Rfam family "Bacterial small subunit ribosomal RNA", at positions 32 to 1232 of the family's 1533-position model. The record is from RNAcentral. Lineage: Bacteria; Bacillati; Bacillota; Bacilli; Caryophanales; Bacillaceae.
GAGGCAUGCGGCAGCUAUAAUGCAAGUCGAGCGGACGUUUUUGAAGCUUGCUUCAAAAACGUUAGCGGCGGACGGGUGAGUAACACGUGGGCAACCUACCUUAUCGACUGGGAUAACUCCGGGAAACCGGGGCUAAUACCGGAUAACAUCUAGCACCUCCUGGUGCCGGAUUAAAAGAGGGCUUCUUGCUCUCACGAUGAGAUGGGCCCGCGGCGCAUUAGCUAGUUGGAGAGGUAACGGCUCCCCAAGGCGACGAUGCGUAGCCGACCUGAGAGGGUGAUCGGCCACACUGGGACUGAGACACGGCCCAGACUCCUACGGGAGGCAGCAGUAGGGAAUCUUCCGCAAUGGACGAAAGUCUGACGGAGCAACGCCGCGUGAGUGAUGAAGGGUUUCGGCUCGUAAAGCUCUGUUAUGAGGGAAGAACACGUACCGUUCGAAUAGGGCGGUACCUUGACGGUACCUCAUCAGAAAGCCACGGCUAACUACGUGCCAGCAGCCGCGGUAAUACGUAGGUGGCAAGCGUUGUCCGGAAUUAUUGGGCGUAAAGCGCGCGCAGGCGGCCUUUUAAGUCUGAUGUGAAAUCUUGCGGCUCAACCGCAAGCGGCCAUUGGAAACUGGGAGGCUUGAGUACAGAAGAGGAGAGUGGAAUUCCACGUGUAGCGGUGAAAUGCGUAGAUAUGUGGAGGAACACCAGUGGCGAAGGCGACUCUCUGGUCUGUAACUGACGCUGAGGCGCGAAAGCGUGGGGAGCAAACAGGAUUAGAUACCCUGGUAGUCCACGCCGUAAACGAUGAGUGCUAGGUGUUAGGGGUUUCGAUGCCCGUAGUGCCGAAGUUAACACAUUAAGCACUCCGCCUGGGGAGUACGGCCGCAAGGCUGAAACUCAAAGGAAUUGACGGGGGCCCGCACAAGCAGUGGAGCAUGUGGUUUAAUUCGAAGCAACGCGAAGAACCCUUACCAGGUCUUGACAUCCCUUUGACCACUCUGGAGACAGAGCUUCCCCUUUCGGGGCAAGUGACAGGUGGUGCAUGAUGUCGUCAGCUCGUGUCGUGAGAUGUGGAUAGUCCCGCAACGGAGCGCACCUGGACUAGCGGCAGCAUUAGUGACACUCCUAGUGACUGCCGUACAUCGAGCUGUGGAUGACGUCAUCAUCAUGUCCUAUGACUGGACCUCACACAACGGUGCCUACAAUA